ACCCCUGUGCCAGAGAGCAGCAGCAGCACUGAGGUACAGGAAUGGCGCCAUUUUGUCCAGCUUGUGGAGCAGCACCUGGACACGUCUGCAGCGGUCAUAUGAUGUGGGUGGAGCCUGCUGGGUCCCUCAUGAAGCCCUGCUCUCCGUAAAGGCUAUGUACAGUGAGGAUGUGGCCACUCAUUUUACAAGAUUGGUUCUCCUGAAGAAGCGGAUACCCCGCGAAACUAGU
Long non-coding RNA from Rana temporaria (common frog), 229 nucleotides. RefSeq lists it as uncharacterized. NCBI's taxonomy places the organism in Eukaryota, Metazoa, Chordata, Amphibia, Anura, Ranidae. The record is from RefSeq and is a predicted model, not a curated record. The transcript has 3 exons.